RNAcentral lists this transfer RNA (73 nucleotides) under Ipomoea nil (Japanese morning glory). It matches the Rfam family "tRNA". Rfam says of the family: Transfer RNA (tRNA) molecules are approximately 80 nucleotides in length. Their secondary structure includes four short double-helical elements and three loops (D, anti-codon, and T loops). Further hydrogen bonds mediate the characteristic L-shaped molecular structure. tRNAs have two regions of fundamental functional importance: the anti-codon, which is responsible for specific mRNA codon recognition, and the 3' end, to which the tRNAs corresponding amino acid is attached (by aminoacyl-tRNA synthetases). tRNAs cope with the degeneracy of the genetic code in two manners: having more than one tRNA (with a specific anti-codon) for a particular amino acid; and 'wobble' base-pairing, i.e. permitting non-standard base-pairing at the 3rd anti-codon position. Lineage: Eukaryota; Viridiplantae; Streptophyta; Magnoliopsida; Solanales; Convolvulaceae. The record is from Rfam by way of RNAcentral.
CCCUAUCUAGUUUAGUUGGUAGAGUGUAAGGUGCUUAACUUUGUAGUCGUGGGUUCGAGUUCCAUGGUGGGUA